RNAcentral lists this ribosomal RNA (459 nucleotides) under uncultured bacterium. RNAcentral describes it as "partial 16S ribosomal RNA". It matches the Rfam family "Bacterial small subunit ribosomal RNA", at positions 338 to 795 of the family's 1533-position model. The record is from RNAcentral.
CCUACGGGAGGCAGCAGUGAGGAAUAUUGGUCAAUGGGAGAGAUCCUGAACCAGCCAAGCCGCGUGAGGGAAGACGGCUCUAUGGGUUGUAAACCUCUUUUGUCGGAGAACAAAACCCGGGACGUGUCCCGGACUGCGUGUAUCCGACGAAAAAGCAUCGGCUAACUCCGUGCCAGCAGCCGCGGUAAUACGGAGGAUGCGAGCGUUAUCCGGAUUUAUUGGGGUUAAAGGGUGCGUAGGCGGUCCGUUAAGUCGGCGGGAAAAUUGCGGGGCUCAACCCCGUCGAGCCGUUGAAACUGGCAGACUUGAGUGGGCGAGAGGUACGCGGAAUGCGCGGUGUAGCGGUGAAAUGCAUAGAGAUCGCGAAGAACUCCGAUUGCGAAGGCAGCGUGCCGGCGCCAGACUGACGCUGAGGCACGAAAGCGUGGGGAUCGAACAGGAUUAGAUACCCUUGUAGUC